Arachis ipaensis is the source of this 327-nucleotide non-coding RNA. Lineage: Eukaryota; Viridiplantae; Streptophyta; Magnoliopsida; Fabales; Fabaceae. The record is from RefSeq and is a predicted model, not a curated record.
AGUCACUUCUGAGCUGCCGCAGCCAUUGUCGGAGUUCUUAGCUGCCGCCACUGCCAUUGGUAAAGAGUAUUCUUGCUUUCGGUUCCCAUCCUUUCAAUUUCUAGGGAUAUGGUUAUCACUGCAAUGUUAUUGCAGCUGCCACUGAGGUUUUCCACCAUCACUGGAGCCGCUGUGGGGACAGUUUGGAAUUGCUGCCAUUGCUUCGUCUCCAUGUUUCUCCUUUGUUAAGUUCGAGUUCCAGUUGUUGUGUGUCGCGCUUAGAGUUGCGGUUGCUGCUACGGAUAGUGGAUAAAGAUGAAAUUACGGCUGCUGCUGUCGCUGGCCGAG